This is a long non-coding RNA of Momordica charantia (bitter melon), 424 nucleotides long. RefSeq lists it as uncharacterized. The record is from RefSeq and is a predicted model, not a curated record. Lineage: Eukaryota; Viridiplantae; Streptophyta; Magnoliopsida; Cucurbitales; Cucurbitaceae.
UGCAGGCGAUGAUGUUAUCACUUAUGACGAGUUCCAGAUUCAGAAUUGAAAGCAAAUGCACGAUGACAUAGCAGAGAUUGAAUGUGGAACAAAUAUGGAGCCAUCUAAUAACAAUAGCCAACCAAAGUCUCASGCAGCUUUCUGAUUGCUAGGCGAUGUGAAAACAAGAAUUCUGUCGUGGUUUAGCUGCCURCAAUAUCCGAACUUUGAGGGAUAAAGAGCAUAACAUCUUUGACUUUCCUUACUACCCGUGCUUGUAUGAUYGAUAGACGGAGAAAUUUUGUGAAUGACGAGACUGGCUUAAUGGUAUGCCCGUCUCGAACAAGGGAUCUCACUUGGAGAUUGCAUCUAAAAGCGUUUGAGAUGAGCAUCUUAAAGGAGAUUCUCAUAUUGAUAUUAUUYAUGGAAUUUCUUUAAUCGUUGA